RNAcentral lists this transfer RNA (72 nucleotides) under Polydactylus plebeius (striped threadfin). RNAcentral describes it as "tRNA-Thr". It matches the Rfam family "tRNA". Rfam says of the family: Transfer RNA (tRNA) molecules are approximately 80 nucleotides in length. Their secondary structure includes four short double-helical elements and three loops (D, anti-codon, and T loops). The record is from RNAcentral. Lineage: Eukaryota; Metazoa; Chordata; Actinopteri; Polynemidae.
GCAUUAGUAGCUCAGCGUCAGAGCGCCAGUCUUGUAAACUGGCUGUCGGAGGUUCAAAUCCCCCCUACUGCU